This 875-nucleotide ribosomal RNA is filed under the name euryarchaeote J4.75-24. RNAcentral describes it as "bacterial SSU rRNA". It matches the Rfam family "Archaeal small subunit ribosomal RNA", at positions 22 to 903 of the family's 1478-position model. The record is from RNAcentral. Lineage: Archaea; Methanobacteriati; Methanobacteriota.
GGCCACUGCUAUUAGGAUCCGACUUAGCCAUGUGAGGCGCUCGAAAUUAGAUUCGAGCCGGACUGCUCAGUAACACGUAGUUAACUUGCCCUUAGGUGGAGAAUAAUCCCGGGAAACUGGGGCUAAUACUCCAUAGGAAACAGGUAUUGGAAUAUCUUGUUUCUGAAAGUUCCGGCGCCUAAGGAUAGGACUGCGGUGGAUUAGGUUGUUGGUGAGGUAAAGUCUCACCGAGCCUAUAAUCCAUACGGGCAUUGAGAGAUGGAGCCCGGAGACGUGCUCUGAGACACGAGCACGGGCCCUAUGGGGCGCAGCAGGUGCGAAACCUUUACACUGCGUGAAAGCGUGAUAAGGGGAUCCUGAGUGCCCUCUCACUGAGGGGGCUUUUCUGAAGUGUAAAUAUCUUCAGGAAUAAGCAGCGGGUAAGACGGGUGCCAGCCGCCGCGGUAAUACCCGCGCUGCAAGUGGUGGCCACUAUUAUUGGGCCUAAAGCGUCCGUAGCCGGUCAAAUAAGUCCUUGGUGAAAUCCUAUGUAAAUCAUGGGACUUGCCAAGGAAACUAUUUGGCUAGGGACCGGGAGAAGUCGGAGGUACUCUUGGGGUAGGGGUAAAAUCCUAUCAUCCUGAGAGGACCACCUGUGGCGAAAGCGUCCGACUAGAACGGCUCCGACGGUGAGGGACGAAAGCUUGGGUCGCGACCCGGAUUAGAUACCCGGUUAGUCCAAGCCGUAAACAAUGCCCGUUUGGUGUAUCAUAUCCUAUGGGGAUAUGAUGUGCCGGAGCGUAGGUGUUAAACGGGCCGCCUGGGGAGUACGACCGCAAGGUCUAAACUUAAGGGAAUUGGCGGGGGGGCACCACAAGCGGUGGAGGCUGCGGUUU